UUAAGCGACUAAGCGUACACGGUGGAUGCCCUGGCAGUCAGAGGCGAUGAAGGACGUGCUAAUCUGCGAUAAGCGUCGGUAAGGUGAUAUGAACCGUUAUAACCGGCGAUUUCCGAAUGGGGAAACCCAGUGUGUUUCGACACACUAUCAUUAACUGAAUCCAUAGGUUAAUGAGGCGAACCGGGGGAACUGAAACAUCUAAGUACCCCGAGGAAAAGAAAUCAACCGAGAUUCCCCCAGUAGCGGCGAGCGAACGGGGAGCAGCCCAGAGCCUGAAUCAGUGUGUGUGUUAGUGGAAGCGUCUGGAAAGGCGCGCGAUACAGGGUGACAGCCCCGUACACAAAAAUGCACAUGCUGUGAGCUCGAUGAGUAGGGCGGGACACGUGGUAUCCUGUCUGAAUAUGGGGGGACCAUCCUCCAAGGCUAAAUACUCCUGACUGACCGAUAGUGAACCAGUACCGUGAGGGAAAGGCGAAAAGAACCCCGGCGAGGGGAGUGAAAAAGAACCUGAAACCGUGUACGUACAAGCAGUGGGAGCACGCUUAGGCGUGUGACUGCGUACCUUUUGUAUAAUGGGUCAGCGACUUAUAUUCUGUAGCAAGGUUAACCGAAUAGGGGAGCCGAAGGGAAACCGAGUCUUAACUGGGCGUUAAGUUGCAGGGUAUAGACCCGAAACCCGGUGAUCUAGCCAUGGGCAGGUUGAAGGUUGGGUAACACUAACUGGAGGACCGAACCGACUAAUGUUGAAAAAUUAGCGGAUGACUUGUGGCUGGGGGUGAAAGGCCAAUCAAACCGGGAGAUAGCUGGUUCUCCCCGAAAGCUAUUUAGGUAGCGCCUCGUGAACUCAUCUCCGGGGGUAGAGCACUGUUUCGGCAAGGGGGUCAUCCCGACUUACCAACCCGAUGCAAACUGCGAAUACCGGAGAAUGUUAUCACGGGAGACACACGGCGGGUGCUAACGUCCGUCGUGAAGAGGGAAACAACCCAGACCGCCAGCUAAGGUCCCAAAGUCAUGGUUAAGUGGGAAACGAUGUGGGAAGGCCCAGACAGCCAGGAUGUUGGCUUAGAAGCAGCCAUCAUUUAAAGAAAGCGUAAUAGCUCACUGGUCGAGUCGGCCUGCGCGGAAGAUGUAACGGGGCUAAACCAUGCACCGAAGCUGCGGCAGCGACGCUGAUGCGUUGUUGGGUAGGGGAGCGUUCUGUAAGCCUGCGAAGGUGUGCUGUGAGGCAUGCUGGAGGUAUCAGAAGUGCGAAUGCUGACAUAAGUAACGAUAAAGCGGGUGAAAAGCCCGCUCGCCGGAAGACCAAGGGUUCCUGUCCAACGUUAAUCGGGGCAGGGUGAGUCGACCCCUAAGGCGAGGCCGAAAGGCGUAGUCGAUGGGAAACAGGUUAAUAUUCCUGUACUUGGUGUUACUGCGAAGGGGGGACGGAGAAGGCUAUGUUGGCCGGGCGACGGUUGUCCCGGUUUAAGCGUGUAGGCUGGUUUUCCAGGCAAAUCCGGAAAAUCAAGGCUGAGGCGUGAUGACGAGGCACUACGGUGCUGAAGCAACAAAUGCCCUGCUUCCAGGAAAAGCCUCUAAGCAUCAGGUAACAUCAAAUCGUACCCCAAACCGACACAGGUGGUCAGGUAGAGAAUACCAAGGCGCUUGAGAGAACUCGGGUGAAGGAACUAGGCAAAAUGGUGCCGUAACUUCGGGAGAAGGCACGCUGAUAUGUAGGUGAAGUCCCUCGCGGAUGGAGCUGAAAUCAGUCGAAGAUACCAGCUGGCUGCAACUGUUUAUUAAAAACACAGCACUGUGCAAACACGAAAGUGGACGUAUACGGUGUGACGCCUGCCCGGUGCCGGAAGGUUAAUUGAUGGGGUCAGCGCAAGCGAAGCUCUUGAUCGAAGCCCCGGUAAACGGCGGCCGUAACUAUAACGGUCCUAAGGUAGCGAAAUUCCUUGUCGGGUAAGUUCCGACCUGCACGAAUGGCGUAAUGAUGGCCAGGCUGUCUCCACCCGAGACUCAGUGAAAUUGAACUCGCUGUGAAGAUGCAGUGUACCCGCGGCAAGACGGAAAGACCCCGUGAACCUUUACUAUAGCUUGACACUGAACAUUGAGCCUUGAUGUGUAGGAUAGGUGGGAGGCUUUGAAGUGUGGACGCCAGUCUGCAUGGAGCCGACCUUGAAAUACCACCCUUUAAUGUUUGAUGUUCUAACGUUGACCCGUAAUCCGGGUUGCGGACAGUGUCUGGUGGGUAGUUUGACUGGGGCGGUCUCCUCCUAAAGAGUAACGGAGGAGCACGAAGGUUGGCUAAUCCUGGUCGGACAUCAGGAGGUUAGUGCAAUGGCAUAAGCCAGCUUGACUGCGAGCGUGACGGCGCGAGCAGGUGCGAAAGCAGGUCAUAGUGAUCCGGUGGUUCUGAAUGGAAGGGCCAUCGCUCAACGGAUAAAAGGUACUCCGGGGAUAACAGGCUGAUACCGCCCAAGAGUUCAUAUCGACGGCGGUGUUUGGCACCUCGAUGUCGGCUCAUCACAUCCUGGGGCUGAAGUAGGUCCCAAGGGUAUGGCUGUUCGCCAUUUAAAGUGGUACGCGAGCUGGGUUUAGAACGUCGUGAGACAGUUCGGUCCCUAUCUGCCGUGGGCGCUGGAGAACUGAGGGGGGCUGCUCCUAGUACGAGAGGACCGGAGUGGACGCAUCACUGGUGUUCGGGUUGUCAUGCCAAUGGCACUGCCCGGUAGCUAAAUGCGGAAGAGAUAAGUGCUGAAAGCAUCUAAGCACGAAACUUGCCCCGAGAUGAGUUCUCCCUGACUCCUUGAGAGUCCUGAAGGAACGUUGAAGACGACGACGUUGAUAGGCCGGGUGUGUAAGCGCAGCGAUGCGUUGAGCUAACCGGUACUAAUGAACCGUGAGGCUUAACCUU
This 2902-nucleotide ribosomal RNA is filed under the name Escherichia coli. Its description in RNAcentral is "bacterial LSU rRNA". It matches the Rfam family "Bacterial large subunit ribosomal RNA". Lineage: Bacteria; Pseudomonadati; Pseudomonadota; Gammaproteobacteria; Enterobacterales; Enterobacteriaceae. The record is from RNAcentral.